GACGAACGCUGGCGGCGUGCUUAACACAUGCAAGUCGAACGGAAAGGCCCUGCUUUUGUGGGGUGCUCGAGUGGCGAACGGGUGAGUAACACGUGAGUAACCUGCCCUUGACUUUGGGAUAACUUCAGGAAACUGGGGCUAAUACCGGAUAGGAGCUCCGGCUGCAUGGGGGGGGUUGGAAAGUUUCGGCGGUUGGGGAUGGACUCGCGGCUUAUCAGCUUGUUGGUGGGGUAGUGGCUUACCAAGGCUUUGACGGGUAGCCGGCCUGAGAGGGUGACCGGCCACAUUGGGACUGAGAUACGGCCCAGACGCCUACGGGAGGCAGCAGUGGGGAAUAUUGCACAAUGGGCGGAAGCCUGAUGCAGCAACGCCGCGUGCGGGAUGACGGCCUUCGGGUUGUAAACCGCUUUCGCCUGUGACGAAGCGUGAGUGACGGUAAUGGGUAAAGAAGCACCGGCUAACUACGUG
This 468-nucleotide ribosomal RNA is filed under the name uncultured bacterium. Its description in RNAcentral is "partial 16S ribosomal RNA". It matches the Rfam family "Bacterial small subunit ribosomal RNA", at positions 28 to 507 of the family's 1533-position model. The record is from RNAcentral.